AUGCCAAGUUCCACAUGGGCCACGGCCAACUUGACUUUGUUGCAUGUUCUAUUCAGGACAGAAAAUGCCACCGGUGAAUCAUCCAUUGUACCUGGAGAGGACUUAGGAAGACAAUGGAGGAUGAUACUCCAACCAGGAUUACUGACGGUGUUCAGGCUAAACAAGUAUCUUGACUUGCAUGAGAACGAAUGGGACAAUUCAACUCAAAAGCUUGAGAGGAACCGUUCUGAUGGAUACUCCUUGACCAGACAAGUCUGCUAG
This 261-nucleotide ribosomal RNA is filed under the name Triticum aestivum (bread wheat). Its description in RNAcentral is "partial small subunit ribosomal RNA". Lineage: Eukaryota; Viridiplantae; Streptophyta; Magnoliopsida; Poales; Poaceae. The record is from RNAcentral.